GAGUUUGAUCCUGGCCAGGAUGAACGCUAGCGGCAGGCCUAAUACAUGCAAGUCGAGGGGCAGCGGGUGUAGCAAUACAUGCCGGCGACCGGCGCACGGGUGCGUAACACGUAUGUAAUCUGCCCAUUACUAGGGGAUAGCCCGAAGAAAUUCGGAUUAAUACCCUAUAACAUAACGAAAAGGCAUCUUUUUGUUAUUAAAGCUCCGGCGGUAAUGGAUGAACAUGCGCGACAUUAGCUAGUUGGUGAGGUAACGGCUCACCAAGGCGACGAUGUCUAGGGGUACUGAGAGGUUUCACCCCCACACUGGUACUGAGACACGGACCAGACUCCUACGGGAGGCAGCAGUGAGGAAUUUUGGGCAAUGGGCGAAAGCCUGACCCAGCAAUGCCGCGUGAACGAUGAAGUCUUUCGGGAUGUAAAGUUCGUAAGCGGGAGAAGAAUACAUGACGGUAUCCUGUGUAAGCCCCGGCUAACUCCGUGCCAGCAGCCGCGGUA
Molecule: ribosomal RNA, 497 nt
Filed under: uncultured bacterium
Lineage: Bacteria
Description: bacterial SSU rRNA
Rfam family: Bacterial small subunit ribosomal RNA
Source: RNAcentral